This 107-nucleotide ribosomal RNA is filed under the name Myotis davidii. The record is from RNAcentral. Lineage: Eukaryota; Metazoa; Chordata; Mammalia; Chiroptera; Vespertilionidae.
UCUCUAUACCAUACCACCCUGAACGCGCCCGGAUCUCGUCUGAUCUCGGAAACUAAGCAGGGUCAGGCCUGGUUAGUACUUGGAUGGGAGAGCAUGAGAUUUUUGAC